RNAcentral lists this ribosomal RNA (492 nucleotides) under uncultured bacterium. RNAcentral's name for it is "partial 16S ribosomal RNA". It matches the Rfam family "Bacterial small subunit ribosomal RNA", at positions 30 to 507 of the family's 1533-position model. The record is from RNAcentral.
AUUGAACGCUGGCGGCAUGCUUUACACAUGCAAGUCGAACGGUAACAGGCCUUCGGGUGCUGACGAGUGGCGAACGGGUGAGUAAUGCAUCGGAACGUGCCCAGAGGUGGGGGAUAACGCAGCGAAAGCUGUGCUAAUACCGCAUGUGAUCUGAGGAUGAAAGCGGGGGACCAGGCAGCAAUGUUUGGCCUCGCGCCUUUGGAGCGGCCGAUGUCAGAUUAGGUAGUUGGUGGGGUAAAGGCCUACCAAGCCGACGAUCUGUAGCUGGUCUGAGAGGACGAACAGCCACACUGGGACUGAGACACGGCCCAGACUCCUACGGGAGGCAGCAGUGGGGAAUUUUGGACAAUGGGCGCAAGCCUGAUCCAGCAAUGCCGCGUGCGGGAAGAAGGCCUUCGGGUUGUAAACCGCUUUUAUACGGAACGAAAAGGCUCUGGCUAAUACCUGGGGCUGAUGACGGUACCGUAAGAAUAAGCACCGGCUAACUACGUG